GGGGAUGUCUUGGCUUCGACACAAGUAAAUUGGCACUGGUUGCAGUCGAGUUGUGACGUAAUCACAAUCUAAAAUUAUCUGGCAACAGAAAUUAUAACUACGCAUUUGCUGCUUAAUCAGCACUCACUAUAGAGUUUGCGGGAGCUUAGAUAAUUGGCUUCUUGUUAUCUAAAGCUUCUCAUAAAAAGAAGAUAAGCUUAAUUCGAUGAUUAUAGAAUUAGGACGAAAAAAUAUAAUCUAGCGAUGUAAAGUUUGUGAGGUUUGAUAAGUCGUGAAAUUUAAAACAUUCACUAAACUGUAGUAGCCACUGUAGAUAUACUUGUGGACCAGGGUUCAACUCCCUGCAUCUCCACCA
This 355-nucleotide transfer-messenger RNA is filed under the name human gut metagenome. It matches the Rfam family "transfer-messenger RNA". Rfam says of the family: Bacterial tmRNA, also known as 10Sa RNA or SsrA, is named for its dual tRNA and mRNA-like properties. The record is from RNAcentral.